This 322-nucleotide ribosomal RNA is filed under the name uncultured Flavobacteriaceae bacterium. Its description in RNAcentral is "bacterial SSU rRNA". It matches the Rfam family "Bacterial small subunit ribosomal RNA", at positions 1 to 330 of the family's 1533-position model. Lineage: Bacteria; Pseudomonadati; Bacteroidota; Flavobacteriia; Flavobacteriales; Flavobacteriaceae. The record is from RNAcentral.
UUAGAGUUUGAUCCUGGCUCAGGAUGAACGCUAGCGGGAGGCCUAACACAUGCAAGCCGAGCGGUAUUGUUUCUUCGGAAAUGAGAGAGCGGCGUACGGGUGCGGAACACGUGUGCAACCUGCCUUUAUCUGGGGGAUAGCCUUUCGAAAGGAAGAUUAAUACUCCAUAACAUAUUGAUUGGCAUCAAUUAAUAUUGAAAGCUCCGGCGGAUAGAGAUGGGCACGCGCAAGAUUAGCUAGUUGGUGAGGUAACGGCUCACCAAGGCGAUGAUCUUUAGGGGGCCUGAGAGGGUGAUCCCCCACACUGGUACUGAGACACGGA